CAACCCUCAAGCUCUGCUUGGUAUUGGGCCGUGCCGGUUAGGCAGGCCUCAAAAUGAGCGGCAGGACUCGUAUCAGACCUGAGCGUAGUAAUUCUUUCUCGCUUUGGGGACGGUGCGGCCUCGCCAAACACCAUAUUUUUACA
Molecule: unclassified non-coding RNA, 143 nt
Filed under: uncultured Lauriomyces
Lineage: Eukaryota; Fungi; Ascomycota; Leotiomycetes
Description: sequence contains ITS2
Source: RNAcentral